Molecule: ribosomal RNA, 1151 nt
Filed under: uncultured bacterium
Lineage: Bacteria
Description: bacterial SSU rRNA
Rfam family: Bacterial small subunit ribosomal RNA
Source: RNAcentral
AGAGUUUGAUCAUGGCUCAGGAUGAACGCUGGCGGCGUGUCUAAGGCAUGCAAGUCGAAUGUCUGCUUUCGGGCAGACAUGGCAAACGGGAGAGUAACACAUUGAUAACAUACCUCUAACUCGAGCAUAAUUCCGCGAAAGUGGGAAUAAUACUCGAUAAUCAUGGGGGGACAUAAGUCAUUCCCAUGUAAAGUUUUAACGGUUAGAGAGUGGUCUAUGGCCUAUCAGCUUGAAGGUAUGGGUAAAAGCCUACCUUGGCAAUGACGGGUAGCGGGUGUGAGAGCAUGGCCCGCCUCACUGGGACUGAGACACUGCCCAGACUCCUACGGGAGGCUGCAGUCGAGAAUCUUCCACAAUGGCCGAAAGGCUGAUGGAGCGACGCCGCGUGCAUGAAGAAGCUUUUCGGAGUGUAAAGUGCUUUUGUGAAGGAAGAAGUCUGGAGAUCAGAAUUCAGAAGUCUGAUAUUAGAUAUACGAUUUCUGAUAUCCGAUCUCCAGAUUGACGGUACUUCACGAAUAAGGGGCUGCUAAACUCGUGCCAGCAGCAGCGGUAAUACGAGUGCCCCGAGCGUUAUCCGGAUUUAUUGGGCGUAAAGGGUCCGUAGGCGGUUUAUUGCAUCUCCUGUUAAAUCCCGAGGCUCAACCUCGGAAUUGCGGGAGAGAUGGAUAAACUAGAGGCCGGUAGAGGCAAGUGGAAUUGCUGGUGUAGGGGUUAAAUCCGUUAAUAUCAGCAGGAACACCAAAUGCGAAGGCAGCUUGCUAGAACGGUCCUGACGCUAAGGGACGAAAGCGUGGGUAGUGAAUGGGAUUAGAUACCCCAGUAAUCCACGCCGUAAACGAUGGAUGCUAAGCAUUGGCAGUAUCGACCCUGCCAGUGUUGUUCACUUAAGCUAACGCCUUAAGCAUCCCGCCUGGGGAGUACGAGCGCAAGCUUAAAACUCAAAGGAAUAGACGGGGACCCGCACAAGCGGUGGAGCGUGCGGUUUAAUUCGAUUUUAAGCGAGGAACCUCACCAAGACUUGACAUCUAGCUGCAGACCCCGGGAAAUCGGGGAGUCUUAGAGGGUGCUAGACAGGUGCUGCAUGGUUGUCGUCAGCUCGUGUCGUGAGAUGUACCGUUAAUUCGGGAAACGAGCGCAACCCUUGUUUUAUG